CAUGGCUUAGUAUAAGUUAAGUAUGUCAGCUUUGGGAGUUGACGGUUCUAAAAUGGAAGCCCUGA
Molecule: transfer RNA, 65 nt
Filed under: Tridacna squamosa
Lineage: Eukaryota; Metazoa; Mollusca; Bivalvia; Cardiida; Cardiidae
Description: tRNA-Pro
Source: RNAcentral